GCUGCCUGAGUUUCUAUUUCCGUACUAAUUUUUUCCCUUCUUUCUUUCUUUCUUUCUUUCUUUCUUUUUUUUUUUUUGAACCGUGGCCAGGCCGAGAUAACAGAGAAACUUCGAGGACCAGAACACAUGUCUUUCAAAGCUGAACCUCUCAUCUUCAUCUGAUAGGCUUGUAGAGGAUAAUUAUGCGUAAACGAAAUGUUGUGUUCUCAGCUCGUUAGCCUCUUCCUAAGCCUGCAUAGUGCAUGCACAUAGGCACCCACACAAUUGACUUCUCUGUCACUGCCAUCAACAUCGAGAAUUAGAGAAAAAGGCCAUAUGAACCAGAAAUAUUUGGAAAUUAUAAAUAGAGG
RNAcentral lists this small RNA (350 nucleotides) under Histoplasma capsulatum. Its description in RNAcentral is "hypothetical RNA". The record is from RNAcentral. RNAcentral also lists the same sequence under 1 other name. Lineage: Eukaryota; Fungi; Ascomycota; Eurotiomycetes; Onygenales; Ajellomycetaceae.